This 253-nucleotide ribosomal RNA is filed under the name uncultured bacterium. Its description in RNAcentral is "partial 16S ribosomal RNA". It matches the Rfam family "Bacterial small subunit ribosomal RNA", at positions 524 to 776 of the family's 1533-position model. The record is from RNAcentral.
UACAGAGGUCUCAAGCGUUGUUCGGAUUCAUUGGGCGUAAAGGGUGCGUAGGCGGCACAGCAAGUCGGGAGUGAAAGCCCGGGGCUCAACCCCGGAAUGGCUUUCGAAACUGCUGAGCUAGAGUACAGAAGGGGCAACCGGAAUUCCCAGUGUAGCGGUGAAAUGCGUAGAUAUUGGGAAGAACACCUGAGGCGAAGGCGGGUUGCUGGGCUGAUACUGACGCUGAGGCGCGAAAGCCAGGGGAGCAAACGGG